AGUUCUCAUCUCUCUUCUUGCAAUUAGUUUUUGGGUUAAAUAUAUCCCCUCCACCAGGCAUAGAAUGGACGAUUAAUGGGUGGAGUUAUCUUAAUGUGGAUGCAGGAAAGAUUUCACAGAAUUUGCUGAUGUGUGCUUUAGAGAAUUUGGUGAUAGGGUUUUACAUUGGACUACCCUGAAUGAAGGCAAUAUAUUUGUUUUGGCUGGGUAUGACAUGGGGUUUAUACCACCUCAGCGAUGCUCUCCCCCAUUUGGACUGACCUUUUGUGCUAAGGGUAACUCCUCAUCAGAGCCAUACAUUGCUGGCCAUCAUCUCUUGUUAGCACAUGCAUCUGCUGCAAGAUUGUACAAGAAAAAGUACCAGGUAUUACCUAGUAUUUCCUAAACUCUUCAAGUAUAAAGCUCAAUCUCAUCCCACUUAAGUGUUGAAAGCCAUAACUUUGAUAAAAUUUGAAUUUCCACCUUCAGUUUUUCUGAUUAGGAAUCUAAACUAUAAAGAAACACCAAAGAAAUUAUCAUGGUCAUUACAGUAAUGGGGUGUUGUGUGCAGGACAAGCAACAUGGAUUCAUAGGGAUCAAUAUCUUUGCUUAUUGGUUUGCUCCUCUAACAAACACCACGGAAGAUAUCAUAGCUACUCAAAGAGCUAAAGAUUUCUAUCUUGGUUGGUGAGUCAAGAACCUAUGAUAAUAGACAAAAUGCUGUCUGUGUUUUGAAUUUUUCGCCAUUUCCUGUUGAUUCCCCUUGGCUAGGAUGUUGAAUCCUAAAUGAGGCAGAAACUAUUUGUUGUUUCUGGUAUUGGUUUAACUUUGUUGUGUAAAAAUGGCUAAAAGCUUUGUUCAAGAAUCUAAAUAAGCAUUAGAUCAUCUUUUCUGUCUGUUCUGUUGCAGGUUUCUUGACCCCUUAGUGUCUGGAGACUAUCCUGAAAUAGUGAAGAAGAAUGCAGGUGCUAGAAUUCCAGCCUUCACCAAAAAUGAAUGCAAACAAGUCAAGGGUUCAUUCGACUUCAUAGGAAUAAACCAUUACCUGGUUGUACACAUCAAGGACAACCCUGAGAAGCUGAAGACGGAUCAAAGAAACUUCGCAGCAGAUGUGGGUGUGGACAUGAUAUGUAUGUUGCCUGCAGUCUUUUAACUAGAUUUGGUAGAUUACUUGCCUGUGCUUAAGUAGUUGAAUUGAGUUUCAUUCUAGUGUUUCUUCACUGUAGACCUUGAAAAAUGGUUCAUGUUUUACACACUGACUUGAAUGAAUCAAGGUUUGGUGUAGCAUAUGGAAUCAAAUUUGUUAGUCUGAUUGAUCUUUAACCAAGUUAUAAAUGAAGAAACUGAUAUAUUCACUGGUUCAUUUAUGGCAGAUGCUCUAGGCCCGUCAGGUCAGGUAAACAUUCAAACAUAAUAUCAUAGAGCUGUCUUGUUUGUGCGUUAAGUCAGUUUACAACCAACAAGCUUGCUUGAUUCAGUUUCCUGUUAUGCCCUGGGGUCUGCAAGGAGUGCUGGAAUAUUUCAAGCAAGUUUAUGGCAACCCUCCAAUCUACAUCCAUGAAAAUGGUGUAUCUCUCUCCCUUCCCUCUCUCUCUCUCUCUCACACACACACACAUACACACACACACACACACACACACACAUAUUGGUAGUUUAUUUUAGAAAACAACAGUUCCAGUGGACCAUCAAGAAACACACUGGCCUUCUGGUAAAACAGUCGUUCCAUGGUCCUUGUUCUCUCUCUCUCUCCCUCUCCCUCACACACACACACACACACACUAAGUAGUUUUACUUAAGAAAACAACAGUUCCAGGGGACCAUCAGGAAGCACACUUGCCUUUGAGUAUGGUACAGUUGUUCCAUGGUCCUUGUUCUUGGAGAUUUGCAGACAGUUGUGGGUUUGGAUGGGAAGGAGUGAACACUUGUAAAUCCAAUUUUCUUUUCAUCAUUUUCCUCAUUUAAUGAGUGAAACUUGUGUGGAUUCUGGCAGGUCAACAGAUGAAAAGGAACACAACAUUGAACGACACUGCAAGGGUGGAAUAUAUACAGGCCUACAUGGGGGGUUUGCUUGAUGCAAUAAGGUAUACCUAUUACAGUAACAAUCUUGAUGCAAUAAGUCUCGAUUAUUCUAAGUUGGGUUCUUCUUAAACUUUUCACUGAAAUGAGAAAUGCAUUUUUGUCUCUGAUGCAGUUCUCUUAUUGUCUUUCUUUCCUCCCCCAUUUCUUUGUCCCUUUUGUUUAAAAAUAUUGGCAGGAAUGGAUCAAAUGCAAGAGGGUACUUCAUAUGGUCAUUCUUGGAUGUACUCGAGGUAACAGAUGGCUAUAAAUCAAGCUAUGGCCUCUACUAUGUAGAUUUGGAUGACCCAGAUUUGAAACGAUAUCCUAAGCUCUCUGCACAUUGGUACUCUGGUUUUUUGAAGGGAAAAAACAUCACUCCAGAUGAGGCCAAUGACAUUACCAAGAAUAAAAUGGCUCUUUCUAAUGCUCGACCCAUUCAGUAGGCUCUGCUUUGAAUAGUCAUCUAUUGGUGCCUUCCCUUUCAACUGGCAUGUUGACAACUUAUCAACUCUUAUUAUCAGAACAUUUUCUUUCUUAAUAAGUAUAUUCAGUGAUUUCUCAUAGCUUGUCACUCAAUUCAGAAAAUAUUAUAGGUAAGUAAACUGGCUAGCCUUGGGUGUCAACCUAAUAUUUUUUUCAGAACAAAAUCUGAAUCCAACUUUAGCUAUCUUGAUUCAGAGUAUGUUAUGUAUAAGCCAUCUUCAGGGGCUUACCGCCUAUACAUCCUUCAUCAGCCUCCCGAUUCCAACAAAAAUUCGCCACUGAACUGUAAAGUAAUCUUGGUUGCAAGAAGUAACAUCAUGUUCUCAAAAUUUCAGACAGAUAUGAGCAAUAACAGUUAAUUGGGACUGCCCAACUUGUUUCAGCAAAAGAUAGAAGCUUUAAACAAGAUUCUCAAAAUAAGUACAUGUCUUCCAGAGGGAAAAUUACAGCAACGGUCCAAAUUAGCAGUAAAGAGAAUCCACAAUGAACAACUAUUUGAAUAGAAAUCUCCUAGUCCAAGUCACCAAAGACGGCCGAAUCAGUAUACAACAAAGUUGACAAUAUUGGCAUGCUAGAGUUCAAUUUGAUCAAGCAACCUCCAUCAUUAUGUUUUCAAUGUCGACAAAAAUGUGUGAUGGAGACCGCCCAUUCUCUAGAGGGAGGAAAGUUCCACCCAGCACAACUUUCGAGGAUGCUGAAAAUCAAUACCCAAUAAUAAUAAUAAAAAAAGAAAAAAAGAAAAACCAGGACAGAAGUAUUUCCACAAAAUUUACGGGGAUAUGUCCAGAAGAUUAUUGUGAAAAUAUAUGGAAUGUAAGGAUAGUAAUAAAUGGGAAACAUGAGGAGUUAAUUGAUGGAAAGACAAGGGAAAGAAGAAUACAAAAAGUGUGUGAGCAUGGUGAGGCAUAGACUCUCUUUCUCUCUGUUUCUUCUGCUAAAUUUAGCAACUACAGCCUUCAGCGCUCUCAAGUUUAGCAGAAAUGACUUCCCAGAUGACUUCAUUUUUGGGGCUGGCACCUCUGCUUACCAGGUUUGUUAAUUUUCUUCUCUUUUCUUUUUUUGUACUCAUUUAGAUGAACACAGGAAGAAGAAAUGAUUGAAGAAAAGAAUCUAAAACAAAAAGGGAGUUGGUGAAUGAUUUUUUUCUUUUUUUAUCAUUAUUAUUAUUAUUGGAUAAAAGGUUGAGGGAGCAGCAAACCAAGAUGGGAGGAGUCCUAGCACUUGGGACGCCUUUGUUCAUGCUGGUCAGUUCCUAUACUGUUUUUUUUUUUCCUUGAUAUAAUUUUCUUUUGCUGUUUUCCAUGUUGUUGAUUGAGCUUUGCUUCUUCUACAAUUAGAGCACCUAUUCUUCCACUGACUGGUUAUGAGCCAGCCCUUUCUAAAUGAUGAGCUCUUUUCAAUGAAUCCAAGGGCCUGACAUUUUUUAUUUUUUUUAAAUCAAGAUCAUUUGUAUAUUAAAUGUUGAUAGAGUUUUCGAAAAAUUUAGAUAUUUUUUUUCCCUCUUUUUGGUGGGGUUGGGGGGUAGGAUUUUGCAGAAAUGGAGAUGCUUUUGUCUUCCAAACCAUACCAUAUUCACUACUCUGGAAUUUAAUCAGCCAACUCCCUUUCUCACCUUGUCUUUAAAAUUUUGUUUGUUUCUCUUUUGCUGAGUAGGAUCUGCUAUCAUUUUGUAACACUAACCAAUUAUAAAUGAAGAGUUUCAAGGAGAAAGUAUUCAGGGUCUUCCAUGACAUCAAUCUGAUGUCAUGGCACUACUGUGCUGUCGUAUUAUACCGUAUCAAUAUUAGAUAGUAGAAUGCUAAAGUUUUGAAAUAAAUAAUUUUAUUUACCAAAGAAAGAUUUUAAAAUUUAUUUUUAUAGAUCUUAUGAAAUCUUCCAGUUAAAGGAAAAUUUCAAAAUUUUCUUUCCUCAGAAAGUUCCCUGCAAUGAUGCUGUCCCUCUCUUUCUAUUCCACCAUUCUUUAACACCCUCAUAAGCAUAUCUUCUACAAAAAGCAACAUGAUUAUUCAUUUGUACAUUUUGAUAACAUAUAUAUAGAGAUAAUAAAAUUGAAUAUAAAUCAUAUAACCAACUUAUAUUCUUAUAGAUCUAAGAAAAUUCCUUCUGUAGGAGGGAAUUCACCUUGAUGGGAUCAUGGGAAAGUAGUGAAAGAUGACAAGGAGCUUGUAUUGAUAUGACACAAUAAGUAGAUGGUUGUACUAUGUCAAAGUCCUAAUAUGGCAUCAAAGACCUACUGAAUAUUUUCUUAGUUUAAAAUUCUUUUAACUUAAAAUCACAUGAAUUCUAAAACCUUUUAAAGAUGAAUAAGGGUUUUUGUGACAUUUAAGAUUUAUGCCAAACUGGGUAUCAGUUCAACAGAUUCACAGUUGCUGAUACAUGUAUCAGAUAUUUUGAUUUGGAUGGCUGAUUGUCCAACCUUAAAUUUCAGGGGGUACCCAUGGAGCUUCUGGGGACAUAGCAUGUGAUCAGUAUCACAAAUACAAGGUCAGUUCACCAUUUUUGUGAUCUUUUCUCUGGGAAUAAUCAUAUGGCUUGUAGAAACAGAGUCGUUAGACAAGCUCGGGUUUCUUCUACAUGGAGCCAUUACAUAUCAGCAAAUGAUGUUGCAAAUUUGAAGACAAAUUUCUAAGUCAUGCUCCUUAAUUUUUCUUUUCUAAUGACAUUUUGGCACAUUCUGCAUGUCCCAGAUGUCUUGAGACGUUAGUUGUUGUUUCAAACAUUUGGAACUUGGCUUAGCAUCCUUCCCGUGUAUAUAUUUCUUGCAGGAGGAUGUCAAACUGAUGGUGGAAACAGGCCUAGAUGCCUAUCGAUUCUCGAUCUCAUGGUCAAGGCUUAUCCCAAGUAAGGUCACGGAACUGUGACUCAUGUUAACAAAAUAAGAACUUGCACUUUUGGUUCUCUUUCUGAGUCAUGCUUCUGUUGUUCUAUCAGAUGGAAGAGGACCUGUCAAUCCAAAGGGUUUAGCAUAUUACAACAACCUCAUCAAUGAACUUAUCAGCCAUGGUUGAAGUGGAUUUCAAACAAAAAUGAAGUUAAUAUUGUGUGUGUAGCAUUUUGGAAGUGUUUUUCUUCUCUUUGGAAGCAAAAACUAGAGUAAUUUUUUUCAUUCAAAAUCAAGAGAACGUACUUCCAAAUUGCUAUCACAACAUUGCUUUCAAAUUCUACAUUCUCUUAAUGGUAACUCACAUGAUCCAUGUUCCAUUGGUCAAGCAGGAAUCCAACCUCAUGUUACUUUAUUCCAUGUUGAUCUGCCACAAGUGCUUGAAGAUGAAUAUGAAGGAUGGCUUAGUCGAAGGAUUGUGUAUGGUUCUCAACUCUCUUCGAACUUGUUCUUGGGCUAAACAUGUCCCUUCCACCAACCAAAUAAUAGAGAAUACAUAUGACAGAAUUAUCUUGUGUGGAUGCAGGAAAGAUUUCACAGAAUUUGCCGAUGUGUGCUUUAGAGAAUACGGAGAUAGGGUUUCACAUUGGACUACCCUGAAUGAAGGAAAUGUAUUUGCUUUGGCUGGCUAUGACUCGGGAAUCCUACCACCUCAGCGAUGCUCUCCCCCAUUUGGACAUAGGUCAUGUACCAAAGGCAAU
RNAcentral lists this long non-coding RNA (6102 nucleotides) under Vitis vinifera (wine grape). Its description in RNAcentral is "long non-coding RNA (VVIN_LNC002052)". Lineage: Eukaryota; Viridiplantae; Streptophyta; Magnoliopsida; Vitales; Vitaceae. The record is from RNAcentral.